GUGCAAUGGAAAAAGCAAAGAAGAAUUAUGUUCCUCUUGAGCAGCAUCAAGAACUCUCUAUUCAGCCUAUGAAAACCCGUUUGCUCAACUGCCUCAUGGAAGGACUUUGGUUUCAAUUUCUCUCAGCAAGACAACCUGAAUCUUGAAAUGAUGGAAGGAUGCCUGCAGCCUCCUGGGUAAACUGGUGCCAUUGGCAGUUCAGCCAAAUGCUUUGCUGUAGCUUAAGACUCCACCAGAAAUCCAAAGAACUCAAAUGUCCCUACACUCCAGCCCAAGCAGACAAUGUGUAAAUGUUUAGUCUGAGGUAUUUUAUUAUCUUGUUUCUCAUCUAUUUGAGAAUGAACAUUUAACCUCUCCUGGAUUUUUAAUAUUUUUUUCUGUAAUGAUUGAAAAAUAUAAUGAAAUCAAUUUACUGAACC
RNAcentral lists this long non-coding RNA (419 nucleotides) under Parus major (Great Tit). Its description in RNAcentral is "lncRNA (ENSPMJG00000011145.1)". Lineage: Eukaryota; Metazoa; Chordata; Aves; Passeriformes; Paridae. The record is from RNAcentral.